RNAcentral lists this long non-coding RNA (676 nucleotides) under Vigna radiata. Its description in RNAcentral is "long non-coding RNA (VRAD_LNC017509)". The record is from RNAcentral. Lineage: Eukaryota; Viridiplantae; Streptophyta; Magnoliopsida; Fabales; Fabaceae.
AAUCCUGAUGCCUCUGGACAUUGGAUUUGUGCAUUUUACACUUUCUAAUGAGGUUAUGAUUUGUUUCAGUGGUUAGAUUCUAUAGUUCAAUUUCGUUUUCGUUCACACUGGUUCUAUGCUUUGUAUUGCAUUUCUGUUCACUUUUAGGUACAAUUUCUAAGUCUGUGAGAUGUUGAAUUUUGAUAGAUAGUUGUUGUUAGGUUCUUUUACUUGGUUGAUCUUAGUUUAGGCAUUGUUUCUUGAUCUUAUUUUCUGUUUCUGAUGUGCUGUUUUGAUAAUUGGAUUUUGGAUUUUGGAUUUUAAAUUCUAAGAUCUUAGGUUGUUUGCUCAUUCCACUUUGACUUUUCACUUCAUUAUACUAUUCUUUCACUGUCCAGAUUAAGUUCAUUUUUUUCAUUGUAUCAUUUCAUUUAGGUUCAUGUCAUUUAGCAUUUAGCAUUUAGAUUUCCUAGCUUUUAUAUUCGUUGAAAAUAGCAUUGUUUGUUUUUGUCUCUCACCAUCUUUUCUUUACAUUUUAGGUUUAUUUGCUUAGUAGUUUAGCUUUCUAUUUCUUUUUCUUGUACUUCAUUUCCCCACCUUGUCUGUUAGUUAGUAGUAAUUAGAAAAUAAAAGCAAGAUUUAACUAUACACUUUAAGCUUAAUUCCAAUGAGUCCUUGGAUUGAUCCUUGGUUGACC